RNAcentral lists this ribosomal RNA (483 nucleotides) under uncultured bacterium. Its description in RNAcentral is "partial 16S ribosomal RNA". It matches the Rfam family "Bacterial small subunit ribosomal RNA", at positions 30 to 506 of the family's 1533-position model. The record is from RNAcentral.
AUUGAACGCUGGCGGCAGGCCUAACACAUGCAAGUCGAGCGGAUGAAGGGAGCUUGCUCCUGGAUUCAGCGGCGGGCGGGUGAGUAAUGCCUAGGAAUCUGCCUGGUAGUGGGGGAUAACGUCCGGAAACGGGCGCUAAUACCGCAUACGUCCUGAGGGAGAAAGUGGGGGAUCUUCGGACCUCACGCUAUCAGAUGAGCCUAGGUCGGAUUAGCUAGUUGGUGGGGUAAAGGCCUACCAAGGCGACGAUCCGUAACUGGUCUGAGAGGAUGAUCAGUCAAACUGGAACUGAGACACGGUCCAGACUCCUACGGGAGGCAGCAGUGGGGAAUAUUGGACAAUGGGCGAAAGCCUGAUCCAGCCAUGCCGCGUGUGUGAAGAAGGUCUUCGGAUUGUAAAGCACUUUAAGUUGGGAGGAAGGGCAGUAAGUUAAUACCUUGCUGUUUGGACGUUACCAACAGAAUAAGCACCGGCUAACUUCGU